CACGUAGGGGGCAAGCGUUGUCCGGAUUUAUUGGGCGUAAAGAGCUCGUAGGCGGUUCGGUAAGUCGGGUGUGAAACCUCCAGGCUCAACCUGGAGACGCCACCCGAUACUGCUGUGACUAGAGUCCGGUAGGGGAGCGUGGAAUUCCUGGUGUAGCGGUGAAAUGCGUAGAUAUCGGAAGGAACAUCAGUGGCGAAAGCGACUUCCUGGACCAAUACUGACGCUCAUGUGCGAAAGCGUGGGGAGCAAACAGG
Molecule: ribosomal RNA, 254 nt
Filed under: uncultured bacterium
Lineage: Bacteria
Description: partial 16S ribosomal RNA
Rfam family: Bacterial small subunit ribosomal RNA
Source: RNAcentral